AUUGAACGCUGGCGGCAGGCCUAACACAUGCAAGUCGAGCGGAUGCAGGCAGCUUGCUCGUGGCUUCAGCGUCCGACGGGUGAGUAAUGCCUAGGAAUCUGCCUUGUCGUGGGGGAUAACGUCCCGACACGGGCGCUAAUACCGCAUACGUCCUGAGGGAGAACCUCGGUGAUCUUCGGACCUCACGCUAUCAGAUGAGCCUAGGUCGGAUUAGCUAGUUGGUGGGGUAAAGGCCUACCAAGGCGACGAUCCGUAACUGCUCUGAGAGGAUGAUCAGUCACACUGGAACUGAGACACGGUCCAGACUCCUACGGGAGGCAGCAGUGGGGAAUAUUGGACGAUGGGCGAAAGCCUGAUCCAGCCAUGCCGCGUGUGUGAAGAAGGUCUUCGGAUUGUAAAGCACUUUAAGUUGGGAGGAAGGGCAGUAAGUUAAUACCUUGCUGUUUUGACGUUACCAACAGAAUAAGCACCGGCUAACUUCGUG
RNAcentral lists this ribosomal RNA (484 nucleotides) under uncultured bacterium. Its description in RNAcentral is "partial 16S ribosomal RNA". It matches the Rfam family "Bacterial small subunit ribosomal RNA", at positions 30 to 507 of the family's 1533-position model. The record is from RNAcentral.